Long non-coding RNA from Mercenaria mercenaria, 159 nucleotides. RefSeq lists it as uncharacterized. The record is from RefSeq and is a predicted model, not a curated record. The transcript has 2 exons. Lineage: Eukaryota; Metazoa; Mollusca; Bivalvia; Venerida; Veneridae.
ACUUAUGUGCAGUGAAGCGUAUCCACCACCGCCGCCGCCACCGCAGGAUCCUCUUAUGACAUUGUUACAACAUCCAUUUACCAUGAUGAUCUCUGGUCCAACAGCGUGUGGGAAGACAUCAACGGUCAAAGAUUUGCUGCAGAACCAUACAGCUAGAAU